This 516-nucleotide ribosomal RNA is filed under the name uncultured bacterium. Its description in RNAcentral is "bacterial SSU rRNA". It matches the Rfam family "Bacterial small subunit ribosomal RNA", at positions 8 to 526 of the family's 1533-position model. The record is from RNAcentral.
AGAGUUUGAUCAUGGCUCAGGAUAAACGCUGGCGGCGUGCAUAACACAUGCAAGUCGAACGAUGAAACUUGUUUGAUUUCUUCGGAAUGAUUUUAAGUGGAUUAGUGGCGAACGGGUGAGUAACACGUGAGUAACCUGCCUUACACAAGGGGAUAGCCUUUGGAAACGAAGAAUAAUACCCUAUGAUGUCAAUUUAUCGCAUGAUAAGAUGACCAAAGAUUUAUCGGUGUAAGAUGGACUUGCGUCUGAUUAGCUAGUUGGUGAGAUAAAAGCCCACCAAGGCAACGAUCAGUAGCCGGCUUGAGAGAGUGUACGGCCACAUUGGGACUGAGACACGGCCCAAACUCCUACGGGAGGCAGCAGUGGGGAAUUUUGCACAAUGGGGGAAACCCUGAUGCAGCGACGCCGCGUGAUUUAGAAGGCCUUCGGGUUGUAAAAAUCUUUUUUAUGGGAUGAAAAUGACAGUACCAUAAGAAUAAGGUCCGGCUAAAUACGUGCCAGCCGCCGCGGUAAUAC